RNAcentral lists this unclassified non-coding RNA (5508 nucleotides) under Hevea brasiliensis (rubber tree). The record is from RNAcentral. Lineage: Eukaryota; Viridiplantae; Streptophyta; Magnoliopsida; Malpighiales; Euphorbiaceae.
UGUUUAAAAAUCAACACAACGUCGUUUUGGUAAAAAUUGUCUAGAAGGUAAAAAUUCUCUUCAAUGCUGUGAAGUGAUGGCGCUAGCAUUAUCAACACGACGUCGUAAAGACAACUUAUCACCGGCGACAACGAAAAAUUACCGAAAUAUUUCAAUAGAUGACCAACACCUACAUAGCAAUCUCAGUUGAUUUCCGUUGAUCAUUUCGCUUCUCAUCUCUCUGUGUAUGAACUCCCGCCAUUAAUCCAUCCUUCGGGGUCUAAGCCCUAACCAUCAAUCAUCUCUCUCCCUAAUCUCCAUUUUAAAAGUCACGGAACAUCUCUCUCAAAAUUUGGUCAUCAUCUUCGUCAAAAGAUCACCGUUACUUUCGCGCCAUGAUGAAUCAGUAACCGCUCGAUCAGAUCAAAUCUCGAGAACUCUUUUCAUUCUCGUGCAAUGUCUUGGGGAUUAGGCUGGAAACGACCGUCGGAGAUCUUCCGUUUAACGCUUAAUUAUGGCACUGAGGAAUCCGAGGAAGAUCUUAAUCGUAUGUCAACAUCGACGUCAUCGGGUUCAUUAUCUUCAUCUUCUCCGUCGUCACCUUCGUCUCCGCCUCGAGAUCAAGAGCUUGGAUUUCGGAUUGAUUUGGACUGGACGGCUGCGGAUGACGAGGACCAGGUGGCUUUGAGGUUGCAGUCGCAGUUGAUGGUGGCGCUGCCUUUGCCACAAGAUUGUGUGACAGUGGAUUUGAGGAGUAGGGAUGAGGAGAUGGGGGAGGAAGGGAAUGUGGGUGUGGAGAUGAAGGUGGUCAAGAGGAGGGAGCCAUUGCGAGGGAUGACGAUGAGCAAGGCUGGGUCCGGACAGCAGAGCGAUGGGGUUGGGGUUUUGACAAGGUUAUUGAGGUCCAACUUGGCUACUGGUGGUGGUGGAGUCGGGGAUGGUUCUGGGUUGGGUUGUAGCGAGCAUUGGCGGAGCGUCACCUGGCUCAGCCUUUGUAGUUGUGGUUUAUCGGUAAGGAUAUUAUUUUAGUUUUUUCUCCAUUUUAUGCCAGUUUGGUUAAUGUGGGAUGUGAAUUGGCCUGCAAUAUAUAGAUUUUCUGCAAUUUUAUGUUUAGUUCAUGAUUAUUGGAAGUGACCUACAUAAUCGGGAAGGCUAAAAAAUACAAAACUUUUACUCAGUUGAACCCCAAAGUAUUGUUCUGCGCUGUGUAUAGAAUCAAAUUAGCAGUAUGGCUACUCUCAUGCUUCGGAUGUAAAAGCUGGUAUUUAUUGAGAGGCAUAAUCGUGUGGUGCUUGAAUUGUGCUGAUUUUAUUAAUAGGUAUUACCAGCUGAAUUAAUCGGAUUGCCACUCCUUGAGAAGCUUUUUCUUGAUAACAAUAGGCUUUCAGUGUUGCCACCAGAGCUUGGUGAACUGAAAAAUUUGAAAGUUCUCAGCGUUGAUUACAACACACUGGUUUCUGUUCCUGGUAAGAAUUGGGUUUAAUUGUAUAUAUAAAGCAGAGGUUCCUUCAUGAAUGGGCUAUAUAUGAACUUUUGCAAUUUAUUGAGUUCUAUCAUCUUGGUUAAAAUUUUUAACAGUGGAACUGAGGCAGUGUGUUGGACUCGUAGAAUUGUCUCUCGAACACAAUAAGCUUGUUCGACCUCUUCUCGAUUUCAGGUCAUUUUAUCAACAAAUCAACAUACUUUAUUACCAUUUUUUGUUUUGAUAAAGCUGUAAACACUAGAAUGUUCUUCGGGUCUAUUGUUUAUCUCCAGUUGAAUGGCAGGGCUAUGGCUGAGAUACAAAUUCUUAGGCUAUUUGGUAAUCCUCUGGAGUUCCUUCCUGAAAUUCUUCCGCUGCACAAACUUCGCCACUUUUCUCUCGCUAAUGUCAGGAUUGUAGCUGAUGAGAACUUAAGAUCAGUGAAUGUACAAAUAGAGGUAGUAAUCAUACAACAGUUUCAUAAGCUGGGAGAUUUGGUUGCUUGAUUUACUUUUCGUUAUUUGGCCAUUUUAGAUGGAGAACAGUUCUUAUUUUGGUGCAUCAAGACACAAGCUGAGUGCCUUCUUCUCUCUUUUAUUUCGUUUUUCUUCUUGUCAUCACCCGUUGCUGGCAUCAGCACUGGCAAAGAUAAUGCAAGAUCAAGGAAACCGUGCUGUGGUUGGCAAAGAUGAGAAUGCAGUGCGGCAACUAAUUAGCAUGAUAAGUAGCGAUAACCAGCAUGUGGUUGAACAAGCAUGCUCUGCCCUAUCAACUCUUGCUGGAGACGUUUCUGUUGCAAUACAGUUGAUGAAAUGUGACAUAAUGCAACCCAUUGAAACAGUGCUGAAAUCAGUUGCACAUGAAGAAGUAAUUUCUGUGUUACAAGUUGUGGCCACCUUGGGCUUUACAUCUGAUACUGUAGCUCAGAAGAUUUUGACCAAGGAUUUGUUGAAAUCAUUAAAAUUGUUAUGUGCGCAUAAAAACCCAGAGGUGCAAAGGUUAGCUUUGUUGGCAGUUGGAAAUUUGGCCUUCUGCUUGGAGAAUCGCCGCAUCUUGGUCACCUCUGAAAGUCUACGGGACCUUCUGUUGCGGUUGACUGUUACAUCUGAACCACGUGUAAAUAAAGCAGCUGCUCGCGCUUUGGCAAUUCUUGGAGAAAAUGAAAAUUUGCGGCGUGCCAUAAGAGGAAGACAAGUUGCAAAGCAAGGUCUGCGCAUACUUUCAAUGGAUGGAGGUGGAAUGAAAGGCCUGGCAACUGUGCAGAUCCUUAAAGCAAUUGAGAAGGGAACUGGAAAACGUAUACAUGAAUUGUUUGACCUUAUAUGUGGCACAUCAACGGGUGGAAUGCUGGCUGUUGCUCUUGGUAUCAAGCUGAUGACCUUGGGUCAGUGUGAAGAAAUAUAUAAAAAUCUUGGAAAACUUGUCUUUGCUGAACCUACACCAAAGGACAAUGAAGCUGCAAGUUGGCGAGAGAAGUUGGAUCAGCUUUAUAAAAGUUCAUCACAAAGUUUUAGAGUUGUGGUACAUGGAUCUAAAUAUGCCAAAGACAGAACGCCAUAACACAUUGUCUUGCAGCACAGUGCCGAUCAGUUUGAGAGGUUGUUAAAGGAAAUGUGCGUGGAUGAGGAUGGAAACCUGUUAAUAGAAUCAGCAGUAAAAAACGUACCCAAAGUUUUUGUUGUAUCAACUUUGGUUAAUGUUAUGCCGGCUCAACCAUUCAUAUUUCGAAAUUAUCAGUAUCCUGCUGGAACGCCUGAAGUGCCUUUUGCAAUUUCAGAAAGUUCAGGUGUCACGGUGUUAGGAUCACCAACAACUGGAGCUCAGGUUGGCUAUAAACGCAGUGCUUUUAUUGGGAGCUGCAAGCAUCAUGUUUGGCAAGCUAUAAGGGCAUCAUCUGCUGCUCCAUAUUAUCUUGAUGAUUUUUCAGAUGAUAUAUACCGCUGGCAAGAUGGUGCUAUCGUGGCAAAUAAUCCUACCAUCUUUGCCAUAAGGGAAGCUCAACUUCUGUGGCCUGACACAAAAAUUGACUGCUUGGUUUCAAUUGGCUGUGGUUCUGUGCCAACGAAGGUGAGGAAAGGUGGUUGGCGUUAUCUGGACACUGGACAAGUGUUGAUUGAGAGUGCAUGUUCAGUGGACCGAGUGGAGGAAGCUUUGAGCACACUCCUACCCAUGCUUCCUGAAAUACAAUAUUUUCGUUUUAAUCCAGUUGAUGAACGUUGUGAUAUGGAGCUGGAUGAGACUGAUCCAGCAGUCUGGCUGAAGUUGGAAGCUGCAGUUGAGGAAUAUAUCCAGACUAAUUCAGAAGCCUUUAAGAAUGUUUGUGAGAGACUACUUAUGCCCUAUAAGCAUGAUGAUAAAUUAUUAGAGAAUUUGAAAAAUCAGCAAUUCCCAAAGGCAAAGAUAUUACAUACCGAUGAGAAUGGUCCGUCAUUGGGUUGGAGGCGUAAUGUGCUACUUGUUGAAGCUUUGCAUCGUCCAGAUUCAGGAAGAGUUAUGCAUCAUGCUCGAGCACUUGAAUCUUUUUGUGGCCGUAAUGGAAUUAGAUUAUCUCUUAUGCUCGGGACAUCUGGAAUUGGAAAGACAAUGCCAGCAACAGCAUUCCCAUCACCAUUUACUUCACCUCUGAUUACUGGAAGCUUCCCCUCUAGUCCACUUCUAUACAGUCCUGAUUUUGGCCCCCAAAAGGUUGGGCGAAUUGACAUGGUUCCGCCUUUAAGCUUGGAUGGAUUUCAAUCUGGAAAGAAUGCUUCAUCACCCCCAAUGUCACCUUCAGGACGCAGACAGUUAUCGUUACCUGUUCGGUCAUUGCAUGAAAAGUUACAGAGUACUCCACAAGUAGGAAUUAUACAUUUGGCCCUUCAAAAUGACUCCUUUGGUUCAAUAUUAAGUUGGCAGAAUGAUGUAUUUGUUGUUGCCGAACCUGGAGAUCUUGCAGAUAAGUUUCUCCAAAGUGUCAAAUUUAGCCUUUUAUCUAUGAUGCGUGGCUGCCGUAGGAAGGUCACAUCAUUCCUUGCGAAUAUUUCAACAGUUGCUGAUCUGGUUCGAUAUAGACCAUACUUCCAAGUUGGAAAUGUUGUCCAUCGUUAUAUAGGACGACAGACACAGGUUAUGGAGGAUGACCAAGAAAUUGGGGCAUAUAUGUUUCGUAGAACAGUUCCUUCUAUGCACUUAACUCCUGAUGAUGUUCGCUGGAUGGUUGGAGCUUGGAGGGACAGGAUAAUAAUAUGCACAGGGACGUAUGGACCUACUCCAACUUUAAUCAAGGCCUUUCUGGAUUCUGGUGCAAAAGCUGUUAUAUGCCCUUCUGCAGAACCCCCAGAAAUUCCAGUUACAUCAGCCCAUGUGUCAGGGGAGUUCAAUGUUCUGGAGAAUGGGAGGUUUGAGAUUGGAGAGGAAGAGGCAGAGGAUGAAGAGGCAGAGCCUGUCAGUCCAACAAGUGAUUGGGAAGAUAGUGACCCUGAAAAGAAUGGGGAGCAUUCGAUGGGUUUUUGGGACGAUGAAGAAGAGGAAUUAUCACGGUUUGUCAGUCAGUUGUAUGAUAAAUUGUUUCGAGAAGGGGCAAGGGUAGAUGUGGCUCUACAAAAUGCUCUCACUUCGCAUCGGAGGAUGAGGUAUUCUUGCCAUCUUCCCAGUAUACAGUAACUAGUUGAAUAUUUAUACAUACAUGAAAAUGAAAAUCAAAGAUUAGUUAAAAGAAAAAAUAAAAAAAAGGAUAAAUGAGAAUAUAAGAUGAGUUCAUGAAUAAUUAGAGCGACUACGAGAGAAUAUUUCCAAUUUUGAGGCUCAAGUAAAACAUUUAUGUUCUUUGUGAUUCAUUGCAGAACACAAGUAAAUAGCAUGUGCCAUGACCUUGUUCUUAAUGUUACAGAUCUGCUAUUUAUUUUUCAUUUAACUUGGGUACUUUUUUAUUUUCCUUUUUGAACUUGUACUUUUUAUGUCAUUUAGUAAAUGAUGUGAUUGUUUGGUUAGCAAAACAUUACUGGAUAAGCAAAUGUAAUUACAAACCUUGGAUUGGAUGUGUUAUUUGAUUUAUACAAUCAAUUAAUGAAAAUUAAAUUUAAUACUAA